Molecule: ribosomal RNA, 729 nt
Filed under: Weissella paramesenteroides
Lineage: Bacteria; Bacillati; Bacillota; Bacilli; Lactobacillales; Lactobacillaceae
Description: bacterial SSU rRNA
Rfam family: Bacterial small subunit ribosomal RNA
Source: RNAcentral
CGAAUGGCGCGUCCUAUACAUGCAGUCGAACGCUUUGUCUUUAACUGAUCUGACGAGCUUGCUCUGAUUUGAUUUUAUCUGACAAAGAGUGGCGAACGGGUGAGUAACACGUGGGUAACCUACCUCUUAGCAGGGGAUAACAUUUGGAAACAAGUGCUAAUACCGUAUAAUACCAACAACCGCAUGGUUGUUGGUUGAAAGAUGGUUCUGCUAUCACUAAGAGAUGGACCCGCGGUGCAUUAGCUAGUUGGUAAGGUAACGGCUUACCAAGGCAAUGAUGCAUAGCCGAGUUGAGAGACUGAUCGGCCACAAUGGGACUGAGACACGGCCCAUACUCCUACGGGAGGCAGCAGUAGGGAAUCUUCCACAAUGGGCGCAAGCCUGAUGGAGCAACGCCGCGUGUGUGAUGAAGGGUUUCGGCUCGUAAAACACUGUUAUAAGAGAAGAACGGCACUGAGAGUAACUGUUCAGUGUGUGACGGUAUCUUACCAGAAAGGAACGGCUAAAUACGUGCCAGCAGCCGCGGUAAUACGUAUGUUCCAAGCGUUAUCCGGAUUUAUUGGGCGUAAAGCGAGCGCAGACGGUUAUUUAAGUCUGAAGUGAAAGCCCUCAGCUCAACUGAGAAUGGCUUUGGAAACUGGGAUGACUUGAGUGCAGUAGAGGAAAGUGGAACUCCAUGUGUAGCGGUGAAAUGCGUAGAUAUAUGGAAGAACACCAGUGGCGAAAGCG